AAGUCGUAACAAGGUCUCCGUUGGUGAACCAGCGGAGGGAUCAUUACGAGAGUGUCACCACUCCCAACCCAUUGUUUACCUACCCGUCCACCGUGCUUCGGCAGGCAGUCCUGUGGGACAGGGCCUCGCCCCCCUCCGGGGGGUGCCUGCCGCUGGCCAACCAACCAUUCUAGCUGUUUUUGUAACAUCUGAGUCUUCCACAAAUAAACAAAACUUUCAACAACGGAUCUCUUGGUUCUG
RNAcentral lists this unclassified non-coding RNA (240 nucleotides) under air metagenome. RNAcentral's name for it is "partial contains small subunit ribosomal RNA, internal transcribed spacer 1, and 5.8S ribosomal RNA". The stretch from base 1 to 46 matches the Rfam family "Eukaryotic small subunit ribosomal RNA", at positions 1786 to 1831 of the family's 1831-position model. The record is from RNAcentral.